This 119-nucleotide ribosomal RNA is filed under the name Triticum aestivum (bread wheat). Lineage: Eukaryota; Viridiplantae; Streptophyta; Magnoliopsida; Poales; Poaceae. The record is from RNAcentral.
GGAUGCGGUCAUACCAGCACUAAAGCACCGGAUCCCAUCAGAACUCCGAAGUUAAGCGUGCUUGGGCGAGAGUAGUACUGGGAUGGGUGACCUCUUGGGAAGUCCUCGUGUUGCGUUCC